GGCGCAGGUGCGGAUACGCAUAUCAAUAAGCGGAGGAAGGCUCCCGAGUCCCCGCCCGGCGAUGCGCCUCAGGAACCCCGAUGAAUAUGGGCUGUCUGAGUUAUAAAUGAAAAUUGUCAAAACUUUCAACAAUGGAUCUCUUGGUUCCGGCAUCGAUGAAGAACGCAGCGAAAUGCGAUAAGUAAUGUGAAUUGCAGAAUUCCGUGAAUCAUCGAAUCUUUGAACGCACAUUGCGCCCCCUGGCAUUCCGGGGGGCAUGCCUGUCCGAGCGUCAUUUCUGCCCUCAAGCACGGCUUGUGUGUUGGGUGUGGUCCCCUCCCUGGCGGGGGGACCUGCCCGAAAGCAGCGGCGACGUCGCGUCCGGUCCUCGAGCGUAUGGCGCUUUGUCACUCGCUCGGGAAGGCCUGCGCACGUCUGUCACAACUGUAUUUUUACCACGUUGACCUCGGAUCAGGUAGGAGUUACCCGCUG
RNAcentral lists this ribosomal RNA (471 nucleotides) under Talaromyces cecidicola. Its description in RNAcentral is "eukaryotic LSU rRNA". The stretch from base 121 to 274 matches the Rfam family "5.8S ribosomal RNA". Lineage: Eukaryota; Fungi; Ascomycota; Eurotiomycetes; Eurotiales; Trichocomaceae. The record is from RNAcentral.